GGAGAGAUGGCCGAGUGGUCGAUGGCGCACGCCUGGAAAGUGUGUAUACGGCAACGUAUCGAGGGUUCGAAUCCCUCUUUCUCCGCCA
RNAcentral lists this transfer RNA (88 nucleotides) under Methylovulum sp. RNAcentral's name for it is "tRNA-Ser". It matches the Rfam family "tRNA". From Rfam's summary of the family: Transfer RNA (tRNA) molecules are approximately 80 nucleotides in length. Their secondary structure includes four short double-helical elements and three loops (D, anti-codon, and T loops). The record is from RNAcentral. RNAcentral also lists the same sequence under 1 other name. Lineage: Bacteria; Pseudomonadati; Pseudomonadota; Gammaproteobacteria; Methylococcales; Methylococcaceae.